GAUGAAGAACGUAGCGAAAUGCGAAAAGUAAUGCGAAUUGCAGAAUUCAGUGAGUCAUCGAAUCUUUGAACGCACAUUGCGCCCUGUGGUAUUCCGCAGGGCAUGCCUGUUCGAGCGUCAUUUCAACCCUCAAGCUCUGCUUGGUGUUGGGCCCUGCCCGCUGCGGCCGGCCCUAAAGACAGUGGCGGUGCCGCCUGGCCCUGAGCGUAGUACAUCUCUCGCUCCAGUGCCCGGUGGUAGCCUGCCAGAACCCCAACUCUCGUGGUUGACCUCGGAUCAGGUAGGGAUACCCGCUGAACUUAAGCAUAUCAAUAAGCGGAGGA
RNAcentral lists this unclassified non-coding RNA (323 nucleotides) under soil metagenome. Its description in RNAcentral is "partial contains 5.8S ribosomal RNA, internal transcribed spacer 2, and large subunit ribosomal RNA". The stretch from base 1 to 120 matches the Rfam family "5.8S ribosomal RNA", at positions 35 to 154 of the family's 154-position model. The record is from RNAcentral.